Molecule: non-coding RNA, 47 nt
Organism: Mesitornis unicolor (brown roatelo)
Lineage: Eukaryota; Metazoa; Chordata; Aves; Mesitornithiformes; Mesitornithidae
Source: Rfam
ACAAAGGCUCUUUUAAGAGCCACUCCAUAUACAAUAAAAGAGCUUUU